Molecule: ribosomal RNA, 497 nt
Filed under: uncultured bacterium
Lineage: Bacteria
Description: partial 16S ribosomal RNA
Rfam family: Bacterial small subunit ribosomal RNA
Source: RNAcentral
GAUGAACGCUGGCGGCGUGCCUAAUACAUGCAAGUCGAGCGAACGGACGAGAAGCUUGCUUCUCUGAUGUUAGCGGCGGACGGGUGAGUAACACGUGGAUAACCUACCUAUAAGACUGGGAUAACUUCGGGAAACCGGAGCUAAUACCGGAUAAUAUUUUGAACCGCAUGGUUCAAAAGUGAAAGACGGUCUUGCUGUCACUUAUAGAUGGAUCCCGGCUGCAUUAGCUAGUUGGUAAGGUAACGGCUUACCAAGGCAACGAUGCAUAGCCGACCUGAGAGGGGAUCGGCCCAAAUGGGAACUGAGACACGCCCAAGACCCCUAGGGGAGGCAGCAGUGGGGAAUCUUGCGCAAAGGGCGAAAGCCUGACGGAGCAACCCCGCGUGAGUGAUGAAGGUCUUCGGAUCGUAAAACUCUGUUAUUAGGGAAGAACAUAUGUGUAAGUAACUGUGCACAUCUUGACGGUACCUAAUCAGAAAGCCACGGCUAACUACGUG